RNAcentral lists this ribosomal RNA (465 nucleotides) under Vreelandella stevensii. RNAcentral describes it as "partial 16S ribosomal RNA". It matches the Rfam family "Bacterial small subunit ribosomal RNA", at positions 338 to 795 of the family's 1533-position model. The record is from RNAcentral. Lineage: Bacteria; Pseudomonadati; Pseudomonadota; Gammaproteobacteria; Oceanospirillales; Halomonadaceae.
CCUACGGGAGGCAGCAGUGGGGAAUAUUGGACAAUGGGGGGAACCCUGAUCCAGCCAUGCCGCGUGUGUGAAGAAGGCCCUCGGGUUGUAAAGCACUUUCAGUGAGGAAGAACGCCUGGUGGUUAAUACCCAUCAGGAAAGACAUCACUCACAGAAGAAGCACCGGCUAACUCCGUGCCAGCAGCCGCGGUAAUACGGAGGGUGCGAGCGUUAAUCGGAAUUACUGGGCGUAAAGCGCGCGUAGGUGGCUUGAUAAGCCGGUUGUGAAAGCCCCGGGCUCAACCUGGGAACGGCAUCCGGAACUGUCAAGCUAGAGUGCAGGAGAGGAAGGUAGAAUUCCCGGUGUAGCGGUGAAAUGCGUAGAGAUCGGGAGGAAUACCAGUGGCGAAGGCGGCCUUCUGGACUGACACUGACACUGAGGUGCGAAAGCGUGGGUAGCAAACAGGAUUAGAUACCCUUGUAGUA